UUUGGUGGCGACCGGCGCACGGGUGAGUAACGCGUAUGCAACCUACCCUGUACAGGGGGAUAGCCCGGAGAAAUUCGGAUUAAUACCCCAUAAAGAUAUCGAGAGGCAUCUUUUGGUAUUUAAAGUUUCGACGGUACGGGAUGGGCAUGCGUAACAUUAGCUAGUUGGUAGGGUAACGGCCUACCAAGGCGACGAUGUUUAGGGGUCCUGAGAGGGUGAUCCCCCACACUGGUACUGAGACACGGACCAGACUCCUACGGGAGGCAGCAGUGAGGAAUAUUGGUCAAUGGGCGUAAGCCUGAACCAGCCAUCCCGCGUGAAGGAAGACGGCGCUAUGCGUUGUAAACUUCUUUUCCAGAGGAAUAAAAUUUUGUACGAGUACAGAACUGAAGGUACUCUGGGAAUAAGCAUCGGCUAACUCCGUGCCAGCAGCCGCGGUAAUACGGAGGAUGCGAGCGUUAUCCGGAUUUAUUGGGUUUAAAGGGUGCGUAGGCGGAUUAAUAAGUCAGUGGUGAAAACCUUCAGCUUAACUGGAGAACUGCCAUUGAUACUGUUAGUCUUGAGUACGGUCAAGGUAGGCGGAAUGUGUAAUGUAGCGGUGAAAUGCUUAGAUAUUACACAGAACACCGAUUGCGAAGGCAGCUUACUGGGCCAUUACUGACGCUGAUGCACGAAAGCGUGGGGAGCGAACAGGAUUAGAUACCCUGGUAGUC
This 713-nucleotide ribosomal RNA is filed under the name uncultured bacterium. RNAcentral describes it as "bacterial SSU rRNA". It matches the Rfam family "Bacterial small subunit ribosomal RNA", at positions 84 to 795 of the family's 1533-position model. The record is from RNAcentral.